ACCAGACUCCUACGGGAGGCAGCAGUGGGGGAUAUUGCACAAUGGGGGGAACCCUGAUGCAGCGACGCCGCGUGGGUGAAGAAGCGCCUCGGCGCGUAAAGCCCUGUCAGCAGGGAAGAAAAUGACGGUACCUGAAGAAGAAGCCCCGGCUAACUACGUGCCAGCAGCCGCGGUAAUAUGUAGGGGGCAAGCGUUAUCCGGAUUUACUGGGUGUAAAGGGGGCGCAGACGGCGAUGCAAGCCAGGAGUGAAAGCCCGGGGCCCAACCCCGGGACUGCUCUUGGAACUGCGUGGCUGGAGUGCAGGAGGGGCAGGCGGAAUUCCUGGUGUAGCGGUGAAAUGCGUAGAUAUCAGGAGGAACACCGGUGGCGAAGGCGGCCUGCUGGACUGCAGCUGACGUUGAGGCCCGAAAGCGUGGGGAGCAAACAGGAUUAGAUACCCUCGUAA
RNAcentral lists this ribosomal RNA (446 nucleotides) under uncultured bacterium. RNAcentral's name for it is "partial 16S ribosomal RNA". It matches the Rfam family "Bacterial small subunit ribosomal RNA", at positions 330 to 793 of the family's 1533-position model. The record is from RNAcentral.